Molecule: ribosomal RNA, 787 nt
Filed under: uncultured bacterium
Lineage: Bacteria
Description: bacterial SSU rRNA
Rfam family: Bacterial small subunit ribosomal RNA
Source: RNAcentral
AGAGUUUGAUUCUGGCUCAGGACGAACGCUGGCGGCGCGCCUAACACAUGCAAGUCGAACGAGCGAGAGAGAGCUUGCUUUCUCGAGCGAGUGGCGAACGGGUGAGUAACGCGUGAGGAACCUGCCUCAAAGAGGGGGACAACAGUUGGAAACGACUGCUAGUACCGCAUAAGCCCACGGGUCGGCAUCGACCAGAGGGAAAAGGAGCAAUCCGCUUUGAGAUGGCCUCGCGUCCGAUUAGCUAGUUGGUGAGGUAAUGGCCCACCAAGGCGACGAUCGGUAGCCGGACUGAGAGGUUGAACGGCCACAUUGGGACUGAGACACGGCCCAGACUCCUACGGGAGGCAGCAGUGGGGAAUAUUGCACAAUGGGGGAAACCCUGAUGCAGCGACGCCGCGUGGAGGAAGAAGGUCUUCGGAUUGUAAACUCCUGUUGUUGGGGAAGAUAAUGACGGUACCCAACAAGGAAGUGACGGCUAACUACGUGCCAGCAGCCGCGGUAAAACGUAGGUCACAAGCGUUGUCCGGAAUUACUGGGUGUAAAGGGAGCGCAGGCGGGAAGACAAGUUGGAAGUGAAAUCUAUGGGCUCAACCCAUAAACUGCUUUCAAAACUGUUUUUCUUGAGUAGUGCAGAGGUAGGCGGAAUUCCCGGUGUAGCGGUGGAAUGCGUAGAUAUCGGGAGGAACACCAGUGGCGAAGGCGGCCUACUGGGCACCAACUGACGCUGAGGCUCGAAAGUGUGGGUAGCAAACAGGAUUAGAUACCCUGGUAGUCCACACCGUAAACG